GAAUCUUAGACAAUGGGGGAAACCCUGAUCUAGCCAUGCCGCGUGAGUGACGAAGGCCCUAGGGUCGUAAAGCUCUUUCGCCAGGGAAGAUAAUGACGGUACCUGGUAAAGAAGUCCCGGCUAACUCCGUUCCAGCAGCCGCGGUAAUACGGAGGGGACUAGCGUUGUUCGGAAUUACUGGGCGUAAUGCGCGCGUAGGCGGAUCGUUAAGUCAGGGGUGAAAUCCUGGGGCUCAACCCCAGAACUGCCUCUGAUACUGGCGGUCUUGAGUUCGAGAGAGGUGAGUGGAAUUCCGAGUGUAGAGGUGAAAUUCGUAGAUAUUCGGAGGAACACCAGUGGCGAAGGCGGCUCACUGGCUCGAUACUGACGCUGAGGUGCGAAAGUGUGGGGAGCAAACAGG
RNAcentral lists this ribosomal RNA (400 nucleotides) under uncultured bacterium. Its description in RNAcentral is "bacterial SSU rRNA". It matches the Rfam family "Bacterial small subunit ribosomal RNA", at positions 359 to 776 of the family's 1533-position model. The record is from RNAcentral.